This is a small nucleolar RNA of Otolemur garnettii (small-eared galago), 134 nucleotides long. The record is from Ensembl. NCBI's taxonomy places the organism in Eukaryota, Metazoa, Chordata, Mammalia, Primates, Galagidae.
CGUGGCCCUUAUUGAAGCUGCAGGUGCUUCCACAUCUCUGCUGUGGUCAAAGAGGAGCCAGAGUCACAGUUUUCCUUGAUGGUUGCCGUUGUGUUUGCUGUGACUGAUCUGCAGCAUUUUGGGAAAAUACAGUU